Long non-coding RNA from Gallus gallus (chicken), 9672 nucleotides. RefSeq lists it as uncharacterized. NCBI's taxonomy places the organism in Eukaryota, Metazoa, Chordata, Aves, Galliformes, Phasianidae. The record is from RefSeq and is a predicted model, not a curated record. The transcript has 5 exons.
GCAAAGUAUGCUUCAUUUAUUUCAGGAAAAUACAUAUGCCUCGCAGGCAAACAACCACUCUGAAAUAUUUUCACUGCCAACAGUGAUUGUAUCUCUAAAUGAAGGUUGUAUUUAUAAUAGAUCUGUAUGCUCAGGUAUUGAGGCAUUUCAGUGGUUGGUAUUACAGAAAGUUCUCAAUGUGUGAUGGUGAUGCAGAAGCUGGAAAGGAUUGAAAUGAUGAGAAUUCGCUUUCUUUCUGCUAACUGAGCUGGUAACCUUGGAAGAAUGGCUUUGUCUUCCUGCAGGUCUGAAGGCACUGGGAAUUCUGAUAGAUGCUGUGAGCCAGGGCAGCAAAGCUGCUCAGGUCACCAUGGGAGUGUCUGGGUAUUUCUGAUAAUGUUUACAUGUAUUUAUUUAUAAGUCAUUAUUAAAGUGGCUGCAGAAGCUAAUUGAGGGCAGGCGUUCCCAUCUUCUCAUGUUAACAACUAGCAUGGAAUAACAGGAUAAAAGGAGGUUCUUUUUGAGUUUUAAUUUGGUUCCUCUUUCAAUACCUUGAAAGUUAACACAUGGAAGCGAUUGGCUGCAUUGUUUCACAGCAACUGCUGAAGCCUUUCAGUAACUUCAAACUGAACAGCUAGAGAAAGUUGUGGGACUAUCACCACUUGGUGUGACGUGCAGUUGAUGGGGUUUUUGUUGUUGUUGUUGUUCAGGGGCAUAAGAAGAACUGUCAGAGGGAAAUCUGGUAACACAGACCAUAGGUAUAAUAACAUAUCCAAAAGCACUCGUUGGAAACGAACGCUGAGCUUUGGAAGACCCAAACAAAAUGACACAAAAAUCUCUUCACUUUCUCUCUUGUAACUUUGUCCUUUUUUAAGUUCUGAAUUUUAAAUCAUUGUAUUUAGUGAUUGCGUUGGGUAUAACACAGGGAUUUUGGGAUCUGUUGACCCACUGGGUAUGGAAUGUGGAGCACAUAGUAAUACACAGCCUAUGUGUUCAUAGGGCUUGUGCUGUUCAACCCACAUCAUUGCUGUUUCAAUAGCAUUGCAUCCUGCUUCCUAACUAAGCAGAAAUCCAAGGAAGUUGGGUUGUUUCACUCAGUGGUGCUGAGUGUGCAGUUUCUCAGCUCUAGGGGCUGAGGUUUGUAUCUUCUGGUGUUAGAGUCAGUCCUACUGGGGUAACUUGAUGUAUGGCUUUGUUCAUGACUUUGGACACCUCUUUUUUUUGUUCAGCAGAGCUUCCCUGGAGGCACAGCCAGUAUCCCCAUCACUGAUACUAUUUCCUUUGGAACAUUCAGUAAUAAGAAGUUGGGCUGGAACAGGAACAGAUUGGACCCAAUAACCCAGUUUGACAACUAAAGGGAUAGAGGUCCUAAAGAUAUGACUAAAAAGGGCAAGAGAGCAGAAAUAUGAAGUGUAAGGAGGAAAAUGUGGGUCCACAGGAUACAAACAUGUAUUGAAUCAGUUUCCUUCAUUCUUACAGAGUGGGGAACUCAAAAUUGAGGGGAAUGUGGUGGAAUUAGGCUCAAGGAUUGGUUCAAGUGCCAAAGGACCCUGCAGAAGAUCAAGUAUUCAGAAGAACAGCCAUUUUCUAGCUGGGGAGCCCUGCUGAUCUGGCUACAAGAGCUUCCAGCACUAUUCCAGUCUUCAUUAACUCAUCACAUACAAUACAAAGAAGUGAAUUGCACUGGAUUAGUCAAAUGUCUGCAUGGAUUUAUAAGGAAUGAGAGAUCCACGCAGAAUGUUCUUGUGGGCUUAAAGAAGAACCUCUGACGAAGCAGAAAGCUAUAAGUUUGAGGGGGAAAAAAGAGAAGAGAGAGGCUGGGUAUAAAAUAGCGACCAUCAACCAUCCCUAAUGUUCAUUAAUGUUCCUGCUGUCAGUGUUGCUAUACCUGAGCUCUGUUGCUGUUCUUUAGAAUGGAGCUCAGCAGCAAAGCUGGGCUGCUGUUGGUUGAUGAAGAGCCUUUCCUCUGAGGGUGUGGAUUCUGAAAAACACCACUAGAAAAAUGCAGGCAUACUUGUAUAUAUGUAUAUAUCCAUGCCAUGCCAACUUGGAUGUGUUUGCCAGUUAUUUGAUUCGGUGUGGGGAGGACUUCAUCCCGUGUCAGUACUCACGGUCUUAAAUGGGAGCACUUUACCCUACUUAUUUGUUUUUUAACUUCUGAAGGAAUGACUGAAAACUCAUCCAAAGGUAAUAACCACAGUCAAAUUCUCAGUCUUCUUUGUCCUCUUGAUGUAAUCUGCCAUUGGUCUGUGUAUUAUCUGUCUUGUAAAAAUGAAAGCUCUCUCAAGAAUGGGUGUUUAAAACAUAAAGAAGAAAUCUAAGUGUUUCUGCUUCAGGAAAUGUACCUGGAGUCAGGCUGGGCAUUGGCUCCCAUCUCAGUCAGAGAGGAGACCCACGAGGUGUCUGCAUCCCUUCUGCUGGGAAUUGGCACUGGUGGUAAAUCAUGAGACAAUGGGUCACUUCUCAUUUGACAAAAGUCCCAGUGUCCAUAAGAAAUUCCACUUUAUUUUGAAGAUUUUUCCCUACGUUUCAAUUGAAAUCCAAACUUUUUAUUGCUUUUCAUGCGCCCUUGCACUGCAGGUGUGGCUCUGUCUUGGAGGUAGAUGCAAUGUGUUGGCUUUUUCUAGGUAAUUGUAGAGUGGUUGGGUUGGAAGGGAUCUUAAAGAUCACCCAGCCCCACUCCCUGCACCUGCAGGGAUGGGGCAUCCCCAGCAUCAAUGGGCAUCCUGUGCCAGUGCGAGCUUCCAUUUUGAAAUUGAAUUAUUUUUUAUAAAUGCAUUAUUAUUUGUGCACAGUUGUUAUUAGCUCUGUACAACCAAACAGGCACAACUGAUGAAAUCCCAGUACCUCUGCCCAGCAGUUAUGUGGGUAAACAUCAGAGGUACAGUGUCACUGUGUUUUCAAAGCCCCGGUGAAGGCAUGGCUGGCACGACAGGCGGAUCCACUUACAGCUUGUCUUAUCACUAUGGGGAGGUUCAACCCAAGUGUUUGAUGCUCAGCAAUGUUUUGUGGAGUUUCCCCAUCUGCGGGUUUGUUCCUGCUCGUGCUCUGUGGUCGUCUGGGUAGGUUUGCUUGGGAAGUGGUAACACAGAUAAUGGGGAGAUGUUUGUAUGAAUGCGGAUAAAAGGCGUCGUGCUAUUUCUGCACCACCUGACCUGCCUCCUCCUCCACGGCUCCUUUUGAUGUUUGCUUUCACGGCGAUUUCUUACAAUGUGAAAUUCAUCCUCAUUUUAAUGGUUUGGGGAUGGUGUGGUUUUUCAGAUGAACAGAACAAGGAUGUAGAGCUCUGAAAGAUUCCUCUGCUCUUUAUCAGCUAUUUCUUUCAAGUACAAAAUGCUUUUUCUUUUCCUUUUUGUUCUGUAAAGGUGGAUUCUUCCCCUGUGCUGUUUACUAAUUAAAAGUUAGUUGGUAAAGAAUAAGCAUAUUGUUCCUGCUACGGUUUGAUCUAUUGUUAUUAGGGCCCUGUGUUGUUACAGAUGAGAUCAAAGAAUUUAAUUUAUGAUGGGUGGAUAGGUCAAGUUCAGUCGUCUGAAGCGAGCGCGGGGUGGAAAGCACAGCUAGGCAGCAGCAGCCCAGGCAAUGAGCUUUUCCUUGUAAAUAAUACAGCCCCACUUUCUCCACUUUUGACUCAAGAAGCUCAGCAGCCCUUUGGGCAUGAACGUCGGAGGACAGAUGGAUGGAGUCUAUGAAGCCCCUUCCGCCUUCCCUUGGGUCAGUACCCACGGGAGAUAAUGUAGUAGCGGAGGAAUCUGAGGCUUGAGAUAAAGUAGAAACCCAAGGACCCCAGCUGUGUUUCAGCCAACCUGAUUCACAGUUCUGCAUCAUGUUUGCAUGUGUGCUGCAAGUUCCUAUGGUAUUUUAACGUGGUUUUGAAAUAUCCCUUGAGCUUGCAGCAAGAACCUCUAAUUAAGACUUAGAGUUGAUGCUGCUAAGUCUUAGUCACACCCUAAUAACAAAAGGGGAACGGGGCAGUGGAACAAAUUUAUUGGGUCUGCUUAUAGUCUCUAGCUGCAAUAUUUUCCUUGAACUCUGCUCAAAGAGGAAUGGGUUGGAUUAUUUCCAUUUCAUCUUUAUUUAUUGCACACCAGCGUGGAGCACUGUUAUGAAACUAAGAAAGACACCCACCUCUCCCCUCUGCCUAUGGAAACCAUGAGGACUGGCUUGACGUGCAAGAUGAGUAACCUGGGAGCAGUUCCUCGGCUCUAUUAUUAGUGUGUGUCUAUGAAUGCGUGGCUAAUACAGCUGCAUACGUGGUUUCUGCUUUCCUUGUAGUCUGACCAAGAGGAGCCUGGAAGCUGGUUUGGGUGGGAACCACAUCUCUUCGUGUUUGGGGAACACUUAGCACAGCACAGACUGGCUGGAGGGCAAGGGAGCUUGGAAUCAGGCUCUCAGCUCCAUCCCUGGGCUUUGCCUCACUGUGUGUCUGUGUAUGGUUCUUGGUCCCAGCAUUGAAGUGAAGGGGUUCCUCGGAUAGGUUGGCAGUGCAGUGACGCAGCAUUGGUGUGACCCAGGGAGGCACCAGGAAGGAGGGAGAUGCUCAUAGAGGAAAAAACCUUGUGCCUGACAUGGUCCCAAACCAACUGGAAACCCUGUGCUGCUCAGGAACAGAUUCAUCUGGCUGUCACGGGAUUGGCAGCAGUAUUUCAGCUGCAGUGGCGCUUACAAUAUUUUCAGUUCCUAGUAAUAUCACCAGUUCCUCAUUCUGCUUUUUUUGGUGAUUCUGCCCGGUCAGAGUGCUAAAGGGAUGGGGAACAGCCUCAUUUUGGCUGCAGUGUCCAGUUCAUGCUUGUGAUUUUCAUCAUCUCUUUGCUUUUGGUUUCUUCAACAUCACCACACUCUGGACUCUGAAUUUGGGUCUUUUUGCUUGCUUAGCUGUGUUCUGGUGUAUUCCCUGGUUUCUUUCUCUAUUUUUCAUCAUGUCCUUAGGACUGCUUUCCUCUCCUUGUCAUAGAAUCAUCAAGGUUGGAGAAGCCCUCUAAGAUCACCUAGUCCAACCAACCUUUAACAUGUCUCAGUUGCCACUCUGUCUGCCAUUCAGCUUGGAAUCUCUAAAAGGGGAGCUGAUGGGUGCUAUCAUGUCUAUCUCUCUGUCUUCAUUGCAUUCACCAUGCCUUCAUUUUCUGGAAUAAAAGUUUCAGCUUUUACUUCUCCUGACUUUACAAUAUAUCAGCUCGGAAAUCAAUCUUCCCUUUCAGUUUAUUUAAUAGUGCUGUCUAAAGUCAUCAGCUAGAAAGCAUUCAGUGGCGAUUACAAGAAAUCUUUUCAAAACCUACUCCCUGCUAUGGCAAGGGAGAGACAAAGAAAAUCUUUUAUAACAUAUUUUUUCUGUCUUAGAAAAAUAAUAGCAGCCCCUUGAGAGGCAUUAGUAACUGUUGAGAACCAAUUUUUAGAUGUAAUAAUUUAUCUUCUUGUUUAUAGAAACUACAAUUAAAUAUUUUUAAAUCUCCAGCAAAUUAUAAUUAGGGAUCUGUGGCCAAAUUUAGAGGGGGAGGAAAAUAAAUUAAAAAAAAAAAGAAAGAAAGAAAGAAAAAAAAGAAUGACUUUAAUGUCUGGGGAUUUGUGUUGUUUGUUUCUGUUGACUAAUAUAUACAGUAAACUGCCUGAGUCCCGAGGUGACUCACGGGCUGUGCAGAUGGUGAGCUUUCCUCCGGGCUCGUUGAGUGAAUUGAGUAGGAAGAGAUGCUGCAUAACCGCCUCCUCUGUCCCCUGUCCCAAAACCGGAGGGUGUGUGAAAACCCCUCCUGCACGUCCAGCUGCAGGAACAUCGGAGUUUCCAGGCAAUUAUAUUCUUGGGAAGCUUGUGCUCUGACCCAAUGUGAGCAAAAUGAAAUUAGUUGGGGUCUUCUGGAGGCUGCCAAGAUGAAAGCCAGGCUUAGGGUGCAAGUCGGUGGGAGAAGAAGGGCUUUCGGAGGAUAAAAUGACCCAAGUGUGGAGUCUCAGAGGGACAGUUCCCACCCAGGAAGGGUAGUGGUGUGAGCAGCAACCCCUUCUUUUCAUUGCCGUGUCGUCUUCACGAAGCUUUGGGAGAAAAGAGGUGUUAAAAACUAGAAAAUAAAAAUACGAGCUCACUCUGGGCGAUGCAUUUUGUUGCUUGCCCCUGCUGCUUUCACAGCUGUGUGUGGGCUGUUUGAGUCUGCCUUUGGGAACCAGGGCAGUCCUUGAGGGAUGCCUGCGGGAGAGGGAGCAGGGACCUCAAAAGGACAAAUUCUUUGUGAAAUGCCCUGGAGAUCUCCUGUAAGCUGAUAGCUGGCUGCUUGAGUGAGGUGCCACAGAGCUCUGUCGCUUCACCCAGCCUCUCUCAGCACUGUCACAGAACGAUAGAAUAAUUAAGGUCGGAAAAGACCACUAAGAUCCUCUGGUCCAACCAUCAACCCAUCAGCCUGUGUUCCGUUACCCAAACUCACAUCUCCUUUAUGCAUUAUUCAAGAAAGUCUUUGUGUUCAUAGUCAUGAACGCCUGUGGGCAUUCCCUGGAAGAAUUCCCUUCAUGCCUGGCACAGUGUGUCCCAAAGUGAUGCUAACCCCUAGAUGUUGAAGAGGAGGAUGACAUCACACAGCUCUGGUUGAAGCCAUCUGCUCAUGGUGCUGAACUGGAAGGUGAGCUCCUGCAGAAACGCGGCCCUCGUUGAGAGUAUUGAGCUUUGCUGAAAGUCCUGACUCUUUUCCACAUUCACAAGGACAGCCUUACAAUGCAAAGCCUCUCCUUGGCAUAAGGACAGAUGCAAGCUUAUAACAGUAUGCACUUAGUUAUAGAGGUAAUUUUAUUUGCCUUUGUUAGAAUCUUUAAUAUAAAACUCAGUAAAAUGACCUCUCUAAUAAAAAUGGCUCAGAGAAAUAACAAUAAACAGGUUUUAUGAUACGGAAGAUGCAUUUAAAAAAUCCUGCUAAGGAAAAUGAUCUUAGGAGUCUCAAGAAAAUAUUAAUAUGAAAGGAGAGACUUUUUCCCUAUCCGCUACAAUCAAAGAUGGGUGGUCUGCAUGCCACGUGAGCUUCCUUGCUCCAGCUCUUGUGGGCAGGAGGAGGGGAAGCUGUACUCUAUCUCAGUAAUGAACUCUGACUGUCCAGGAAAGCAUUUAUUUUUGCAAAAUUAAAAAGGGGGGGAGUCAAUGGAUCUGUUUAUAGCUAUAUAAAAAGGCAGAAAAGUUAAUGCUAACAUAUGUUGCUUCAUGUUCCCAGAGCAAAAACAUUUGCAGGAUAAUAUCCCGGAGCGCAGGUGGUAAGCGAUCAAUACUCUUAUUUGUUUUUAAGGGAUGGCAGAACUGCUCACCUAUAGGAGUUGCAGUGAAUGCGUAGAACCCCUACGGACACAUGGCAUUAAUGUACGGGUGUUGUAGGCGUUUUAUUACAUAGACUUCAGGAGUUGGCACUCAGCUACCAGGAUCUCUAUAGCUUUUGUUCAGUGGGAGGUGUCCAUACCAAGCACAGUUCUAGAUCCUAAUGGGGUGGAAGGACAUGUGCCACAGGGGAAUCCAUGGAAAAUUGAAUCAUGGUCGUGUCUUCUGCUGGCUGAGCAGGUUUCUUCUGUUAUCUAGCAUGAAUCACAUCCAAUUCCAGUGUCACAUCUCUAGAAAAUGAUGAAAAUGCUUUCUUUCUCCUGCUUAUUGAUACAGGAUGUUUAGGUCAGGAAUAGACUCCUGGCCUGAGCUUUUAGACUGCAUGGCCCCAGAGCUGCAAACUCAUGUAGCUAACCAUGCACUACCACUAUGAUGAUAUCCAGAGAUGUCAUCUCUCUUUACGGAUCUACACAGACUGUAGAUUUUUCUUCAGGGAUACAUGCCCCUAGAGAUAAAUCUUCCUCUCUUUAAUCCAAAACAUCCAACUGGCAAUUACUUGCAUCUCACAAAGAUUUCACUGGAAGUGACCUUUGGUGGUUUUGGGACAAAACGUGAACCUUUCAUCUUUCCCGUGGCUGUAAGUGAUCAGAUAGAGGCAAAACCCUAUUUCCUGCCUUCCCAUACCUGCUGAGAGGGAGCCGGGGGGCUGCUGGUGUGAGAUCACCAUCUUUCAGAGGACAGCAAAAUGCUUUAUGAAGACUGUGAUCUAAAUACAGAUGAGAUAGCUGGCAAGGCUCCAGCUAUUGCUUCAGGACCUUGUAUAUCUUCUCUGCCUUCAGGACCCAGGUGUUGCCAGUUACCGCCAGUAUUCCUGACGUCAGAUAUGGUUUCUUCCAUUCAUGAGGCCAACGGAACAGUUGACCACAAAGAGUCUAACCCUAGGUGUUUUGUUUGAGAGACAUGUAGUACUUUUUUUCCAUAGAGAGGGAAGGUACUUUGUGCUCACUGUACUGGGCCUUCAGUUCGCUUUCUCAUUCAGACCAGGGCCAGGUAAGCCAAGAUAAACUGGGAACUCUGGAAGUGUAGGCCCUCUUCUUCCCAUUGUCCCCAGACUAGAAGAUGGUCUGGUGGUUCAAGCUGGGUUAUGCUGGGCCCCUGCCUGCUUUUUCUUGGACUUGUGCAUAUUAAUGUUUCCAUCGAGCACUUUGAUCAUUGGCAAACUGUUCUCUGCCAGCAUUGUUCCAUCAGAGAGUUUGAAAGCUCAUCUUGAGAGAAGAUUAACUAAUAAUCAGUGAUGCUUUUGUUACAUGCAUUCCCACAAGACCCACUGCUGGUGACUUGACUGAAAACAUGAAUGAAUUGAGCUUUACUCCACGUCUGCGAGUUAGAGAAAUAUGUCAUUUUAACUUUUUCAGUAACAUAAGCAGUUUUUCAGAACAUUAAACUCACUGGACACAACACAACUAGAGAGUUUUGCUGUUUUCCUCCAGCUGCUAACAGAGCUAAAUGUUUUCCCAGUGUAAAUAGCAGGGCCAUGGAUGGGGUCAGCUCCCCUCCAGCCCCACUCUGUGUCAUGGCCGUGCAAACGCCACCUGAGCAAUUCUCCUUGGACUGCAUUGUAGUAAAGAACAUCGGGAAAAUGAUUCCAAAAUUGAAGGCUAUCCUGAUGUCUUUACUAGCAAUAUCUGUUUUUAAAUUGAGUGAGCUCUGGCUUGUGUCUCUAUCUGUUCCAGCUGCAGAAUUAUGGCUGGAGGACAGAGGCACUCUCCUGGGUGUGAAAUAUUGCAAGGAGGGAGUGCAUUCCGAACACAGGGGUGGCCUGGCAGAGGAGGGUACCAUGGAGAAGUGGUUAGACCCAGAAAGAAGCUGAACGUUAGAUCUGCAAACACGUUUCAAGUUCUCUGGUUUUGAGAAAACUUCCUAGGGUUUUAAUUCAUCGUUUCUCUUGUUUUUGCAGCAAGAACAACUGUGGUUACCUCACUGCUCUGGCUCUGUGCUGACAGAGGGCACUGGGGAGAGAUCUAUCACUGCUGAUGUUGAGGCUUUGCCGAUAACCUCUGCCCGGGGCUGGGUGAAGCUACAAACGCUGCCCAGUCUUCGGAGGUGGGAGAGUGCUUUCUUCUCUGCUUGAUGUAUUUCUUUAAUGCGUGUUGAUGCUGUAUGUUAUUAAAAUCCAUUACCUCCUUCAUUUAUUUCCUUUCCUCUGGACUCAAUUAUCUUGUGUUUCUGUUUUUGGAAAAGUAGGUCGAAGCAGAUACAUGAGAAAUAAUAUCCAAUCUGUAUUUCUUAAGGUACAGGACCAGUCUGUCAGGCUGUUGGCACACAACAACAAUUGUUUUAUUGUCAGAGUAAGUAAAUAAGAACAAGAAGUCUUAAGUAUUGGCAUAUGUUGAUACGUGGCCAAAAAGGUCUCUAAACAA